UACUCGAGUGGCGAACGGGUGAGUAACACGUGGGUGAUCUGCCCUGCACUUCGGGAUAAGCUUGGGAAACUGGGUCUAAUACCGGAUAGGAGCCAUCUUUAGUGUAGUGGUUGGAAAGUUUUUUCGGUGUAGGAUGAGCUCGCGGCCUAUCAGCUUGUUGGUGGGGUAAUGGCCUACCAAGGCGGCGACGGGUAGCCGGCCUGAGAGGGUGUACGGCCACAUUGGGACUGAGAUACGGCCCAG
RNAcentral lists this ribosomal RNA (243 nucleotides) under uncultured Actinomycetales bacterium. RNAcentral's name for it is "partial 16S ribosomal RNA". It matches the Rfam family "Bacterial small subunit ribosomal RNA", at positions 88 to 334 of the family's 1533-position model. The record is from RNAcentral. Lineage: Bacteria; Bacillati; Actinomycetota; Actinomycetes; Actinomycetales.